Molecule: long non-coding RNA, 273 nt
Filed under: Sorghum bicolor (sorghum)
Lineage: Eukaryota; Viridiplantae; Streptophyta; Magnoliopsida; Poales; Poaceae
Description: long non-coding RNA (SBIC_LNC005997)
Source: RNAcentral
AUUGUUUAAAUUCCAGAUAUAUCACAUACAAAGUUUCCAUGACGCUCUUUCGCAAAUAUCCACCAUGAUUUAAUAUGCUAUUUGUUAGUAAUGAGUGGUAUGAAAAUGAAAGAAAACUUAAUAAUGGACUAAAACAUCUAUUACAUGAUCUGGUUACUUUUGGUAGGUAUAUAAUAAGCAGGUCAAUGCCAAGUGUGAACCCAGCCAUGCACUUGUGCUUCAAACCCUUUGUGCAGUUGUUAUCAUUUUUUGUUUUUUCUCGCCACAAGGCAA